Molecule: ribosomal RNA, 3630 nt
Filed under: Triticum aestivum (bread wheat)
Lineage: Eukaryota; Viridiplantae; Streptophyta; Magnoliopsida; Poales; Poaceae
Description: partial small subunit ribosomal RNA
Source: RNAcentral
UAUUUUCCAGAAAGAGGAUAAGAACGACAGUGAGUAGCGGCUUCUGUUCGGGCGGGGGGACUGGAAUCGCUGCGUCCGUCGCCUCUUGUCUAGAGGGAGCGGUGUGUAGGUAGGUACCGCCGACACAUGAGGGUCAGGGUCCGGUUGCCGCAGCUGUACCGGCUGUAUGUUCUGGAGUGGUUGUAUUCGGUGUACGACGAGAGUGACGAAGGCAAACGAAGCGGCGGCCUCCAUCGCGUCGACCGCAAACGCGAGACCCACGACCCGAGGUGUUGGGAACAGGACCGGGACUGGUAGGAGAAGGUGGACGGCGGGCGCCCUGGGCAGAAACCGGCGACACGACGUCGGAUGAUGCGGUAAGAGCCCCAGCAGGAGGAGCAGCGGCACGGCCACCUCGACCACUGGCGCGAGACGGACGCGGUGUCGGCGCUCCCGGCGGAGGAGCGGAAGCGGAGGAUGGAGGACGGGACGCGAGUGCAUGAGGAGGAGGAGCAGUAGAGCCUUACGAUAAGAAAAUUCUGUUUUCAGUUUAGAACCUCAACGUAAAGAAGAAGUUCCUUUAAUUCGGUCACCGGAAGUAAGGAAACCGUUCGUUGAAUUAAACGGCAGAGACCUUUACAUCUGUCACGACUACAUAUCGAGUUCUACAGAGUGUCUUAUACGUCUCGUUCUGCACGAGACAAAAGAAACAAAGAACCUUUCAAUACGAGACGAAAAACAAGUCGCACUGGUGUUAAAGGUGCACCGGUCGUAACCGCGGAACAGCUUCGUCGGGAGUUGCACAUUCCGGCCGAAGGACGUCAUACCGAAGAGGGUGUGACACAACGUCUAGGACGCGAGCGAGUUGCACGAGCGGUUACUCCGCGAAGCAAUCCCCGACUUCCUCAUGAUGUUGACCGGAUGGAAGACCUCAUAAUGUAACUGUCGUUCAAGAAGACGCCCCACUGUAGUGACAGCUACAGAGUGUCUUAUACGUCCCGUUCUGCACGAGACAAAAGAAAAUGAAAACCUUUCCGCACGAGACGUGAAAACCAGUCGCGCCGGCACUAAAGGUGCACCAGUCGUAGCUGCAGAACGGCUUCGACGUGAGUUGCACAGUUCAGUCGAAGGGCGUCACGCCAAGAGGGUGCGCCGCCAAGUCUAGAACGCGAGCGAGCUGCACGAGUACUCACUCCGGUGAGACCGUCCCCGAGUCCUCAUGAGAUCGACCGGGUGGAAGGGCCUUAUAAUGUCACUGCCGCUCAAUAAGACGUCCCGGUGUAGUGCCAGCCAUACAUACGAGAAACCCAAAGGAAGAGGGUACUAAUGCCAAGUAAAAAUUCUGAGACAAACAUGUGACGUACCAUCAUACUUAACAAGAUACUCUUUAGACAAAACAGAUCGUAGUCCCGUGUCCUUAUAUAAGUAAUGAAACCGUACAAGGCUCACAGACUCCCGUUACUACCAUCUAAACCGUUUAUCUUUGUACAUCGACAAAGUCCGUUCUAUGUAGUCACAACGAACACCGAGUUUCCCAUACACCGAAACAGUUACGCAGUAUCGCCGUAGGUCAUUUAAUCAAGUCUAGAACUUUAAGUUCUCUAUUUAGUUCCCACCUCACGUCAGUCGCAGUCCUUAUAACAAGAACACCGUAAAGAUGAAGUUCCUUUACUUCGGUCACCAAUUAAUUACUAUAGAAACCGCGCGUGGAAUUAAACAAUAGAGACUUCGACAUCGGUCACGACUACAUGACGAGUUCUACAGAGUAUCUCUUAUACGUCUCGUUCUGCACGAGACAAAAAAGAUUCCAAACGUGACGUAAAACGAGUCGCGCUGGUGUUAAAGGUACACCAGUCGUAGCUGCAGAACGGCUUCGUCGCGAGUUGCACAGUCCAGCCGAAGAACGUCAUACAGAAGAGGGUGUGCCACCACGUCUAGGACGCGAGCAAGCUGCACGAGCGGUUACUCCGCGAGGCCGUCCCCGAGUACCUCAUGAGAUCGACCGGGCGGAAAGACCUCAUAAUGUAUCUACCACAGAGUGUCUUAUGCCUGUCGUUCUACACGAGACGAAAGAACUAAUUGCGCCGGUAUCAAAAGUCCACCGGACGUGACUGCAGAACGGUUUCGUCGCGAGUUGCAAAGACCGGCCGAUGAGCGUCACACCGAAGAGGGUGUACCACCACGUCCAAGACACCAGCGAGCUACACGGGAAGCUUUGCGAGUUACGCGAUCGGAUGGUCCGCGAGGUCGUCACCGAGUGGAGGGGCGUCGAGAUGUAGCUGAAAGCUCAAGAAGUCUCCCACACUGUAGUGUCAACCAUACAUAUAUACUCUAAACGAGAGACCAGAGACGGAAGGGAAGAGGGUGCUAAUACCGGGUCUUGAAACUCUGACAGACAACGUCAUGUGCGCGUACCAUCGCCUCCGUACCACGUAAGAAGAACAUGGACUUACACAGACACCGUCACAGUUUACAAAUUACCAAAUAAAGAAGUGUAAGUCACCCUAACCUCACGUGUACCGUGAGACAUGGCCACCUUAUAUACGAGAGACGGAAAGGAAGAGGGUACUAAUACCAAUGUCAAGUUUUAAACUGAGACGACAUCAUCAUGUGCGGCUACAAGCAAUACUUAACAAGGCACUCCUUGGACAACAAACGUAGUCUCGUAUGAUUAAGUAAGCUACAAGCCUACAUGAAAAUCUACUCCCGUUGCAACCAUCUAAACUGUAUACCCCGUCACAGUAACAAAGUAUCAUCAACUCAAGAAGUGUUAUUUCUCUGUUUGAUCCUAACCCAACGUGAGCAGGGAGACAACGUCACCUUGUAAAAGACGAAAGGAAACAAACAACCACUUGAAAAGAAAACCCCUACACCACUCGUGCCUCCCUUUUGUUUAAAACCUUUGAUACUAUUCGAAAAUCCUUCCACCCCUACCCUUUCUCAGCACUUGUACUAACUUGUUCCAGUCAUAGUAACUUUAGGAACUUUAAUCUCAAGUAUAAGUAAAAAGUAUAAAUACCAAAUCACGGUCACUAUACUAAUUACUUACGGUCGGAGACCCGUAUUUCGACUGAAUGAACUACGAGUAACGAGGCUGAUAGACUUUCAGGACUUGUGGUAAAAAACAAACUUCAGACUUGGUUCCUUACCACAGCGCAGUACACAUCCAAAAAGUCCUGUCCACGUCUUGAGGUUGGUGUAUCAAACUUAACAGACACUUGAUAAGUUUCAAGGAAAAAAAAAAACGCUCUUAGUAUCAAGGAAAAAAAAAACGCUCUUAGUAUCAAGGAAAAGUCUACGUGCUCAUCGUCUUCCUAGCACAAGCCUGGUACAUUAGGGGUGGUAAAAUAGGUACAACAAUGGAGUACUUAUUGACUUGGAGAGACGACGAUCAAUUGUCGGAUUGGACAGGACACAUAUGACAUGAAAUCGUUGACGAAGUAGGACCUACAAGUGGCACAGGACUCGGAGACCGGCGUAGGAGACGGCGAGGUGGAUGAGCCAGCCGUUGGAGCGGUAGAAGCUGUGGCCGUGACGGACCCGGGUGUAACGACGCCGAUAAACCCCGGCUGCUGUGACUCCACGAGUACGUGCGGGACUAGCUACACGACACCUCGACAACCUACUUACUGAACUGUCUGUACUUGCGCC